Molecule: ribosomal RNA, 468 nt
Filed under: uncultured bacterium
Lineage: Bacteria
Description: partial 16S ribosomal RNA
Rfam family: Bacterial small subunit ribosomal RNA
Source: RNAcentral
GACGAACGCUGGCGGCGUGCUUAACACAUGCAAGUCGAACGGAAAGGCCCUGCUUUUGUGGGGUGCUCGAGUGGCGAGCGGGUGAGUAACACGUGAGUAACCUGCCCUUGACUUUGGGAUAACUUCAGGAAACUGGGGCUAAUACCGGAUAGGAGCUCCUGCUGCAUGGUGGGGGUUGGAAAGUUUCGGCGGUUGGGGAUGGACUCGCGGCUUAUCAGCUUGUUGGUGGGGUAGUGGCUUACCAAGGCUUUGACGGGUAGCCGGCCUGAGAGGGUGACCGGCCACAUUGGGACUGAGAGACGGACCAGACGCCAACGGGAGGCAGCAGUGGGGAAUAUUGCACAGUGGGCGGAAGCCGGAUGCAGCAACGCCGCGUGUGGGAUGACGGCCUGCGGGGUGUAAACCGCUUUCGCCUGAGACGAAGCGGGAGUGACGGUAAUGGGUAAAGAAGCACCGGCUAACUACGUG